UGGGGAAUAUUGCACAAUGGGCGCAAGCCUGAUGCAGCCAUGCCGCGUGUGUGAAGAAGGCCUUCGGGUUUUAAAUCACUUUCAGCGGGGAGGAAGGCGUUAAGGUUAAUAACCUUGGCGAUUGACGUUACCCGCAGAAGAAGCACCGGCUAACUCCGUGCCAGCAGCCGCGGUAAUACGGAGGGUGCAAGCGUUAAUCGGAAUUACUGGGCGUAAAGCGCACGCAGGCGGUUUGUUAAGUCAGAUGUGAAAUCCCCGGGCUCAACCUGGGAACUGCAUCUGAUACUGGCAAGCUUGAGUCUCGUAGAGGGGGGUAGAAUUCCCGGUGUAGCGGUGAAAUGCGUAGAGAUCUGGAGGAAUACCGGUGGCGAAGGCGGCCCCCUGGACGAAGACUGACGCUCAGGUGCGAAAGCGGGGGGAGCAAACCGG
RNAcentral lists this ribosomal RNA (429 nucleotides) under Chloroflexota bacterium. Its description in RNAcentral is "Chloroflexi bacterium partial 16S ribosomal RNA". It matches the Rfam family "Bacterial small subunit ribosomal RNA", at positions 355 to 776 of the family's 1533-position model. The record is from RNAcentral. Lineage: Bacteria; Bacillati; Chloroflexota.